This 1353-nucleotide ribosomal RNA is filed under the name uncultured bacterium. RNAcentral describes it as "bacterial SSU rRNA". It matches the Rfam family "Bacterial small subunit ribosomal RNA", at positions 28 to 1398 of the family's 1533-position model. The record is from RNAcentral.
GAGGAACGCUGGCGGCGCGCCUAACACAUGCAAGUCGAACGAGCAAGAGAGAGCUUGCUUUCUCGAGCGAGUGGCGAACGGGUGAGUAACGCGUGAGGAACCUGCCUCAAAGAGGGGGACAACAGUUGGAAACGACUGCUAAUACCGCAUAAGCCCACGGGUCGGCAUCGACCAGAGGGAAAAGGAGCAAUCCGCUUUGAGAUGGCCUCGCGUCCGAUUAGCUAGUUGGUGAGGUAACGGCCCACCAAGGCGACGAUCGGUAGCCGGACUGAGAGGUUGAACGGCCACAUUGGGACUGAGACACGGCCCAGACUCCUACGGGAGGCAGCAGUGGGGAAUAUUGCACAAUGGGGGAAACCCUGAUGCAGCGACGCCGCGUGGAGGAAGAAGGUCUUCGGAUUGUAAACUCCUGUUGUUGGGGAAGAUAAUGACGGUACCCAACAAGGAAGUGACGGCUAACUACGUGCCAGCAGCCGCGGUAAAACGUAGGUCACAAGCGUUGUCCGGAAUUACUGGGUGUAAAGGGAGCGCAGGCGGGAAGACAAGUUGGAAGUGAAAUCUAUGGGCUCAACCCAUAAACUGCUUUCAAAACUGUUUUUCUUGAGUAGUGCAGAGGUAGGCGGAAUUCCCGGUGUAGCGGUGGAAUGCGUAGAUAUCGGGAGGAACACCAGUGGCGAAGGCGGCCUACUGGGCACCAACUGACGCUGAGGCUCGAAAGUUGUGAAGCAAACAGGAUUGGAUACCCUGGUAGUCCACACCGUAAACGAAGAAUUACUAAGUGUUGGAAUUUCCGGUGGGGAAGGUUAACACAUUAAGUAUUCCACCUGAGUAGUACGGUCGCAAGGCUGAAACUCAAAGGAAAUGACGGGCACCCGCACAAGCGGUGGAGCAUGCUGUUUAAUUCGAAGAUACGCGAAGAACCUUACCUGGGCUUGACAUCCCAAUGAAAGUUUUUGGAAACAUUAACCCUUCCCUUCGGGGAACAUUGGUGACAGGUGGUGCAUGGUUGUCGUCAGCUCGUGUCGUGAGAUGUUCGGUUAAGUCCGAUAACGAGCGCAACCCUUAUCCUUAAUUGCUAACAUUCAGUUGAGAACCUUAAGGAUACUGCCGGUGACAAACCGGAGGAAGGUGGGGAUGACGUCAAAUCAUCAUGCCCCUUACGUCCAGGGCUACAGGCGUGCUACAAUGGCUGGUAUAAUAAGAUGCAAUAUCGUGAGAUGGAGCAAAUCUCUAAAGCCAGUCCCAGUCCGGAUUGGAGUCUGCAACUCGACUCCAUGAAGUUGGAAUCGCUAGUAAUCCCGAAUCAGAAUGUCGGGGUGAAUACGUUCCCGGGUGUUGCACUCAGCGCCCGUC